AAUAUUUCACAAUGGGUGCAAACCUGAGACAGCAACACAACGAGAGUGAAGAGGGUAAUGGGUCGUAAAACUCUUUCAGCAGGGAAGAAGGGUAAUAAGGUAAAUACUUGAAGGUACAUGCUUAAGAAGCACCGGGUAACUCCGUGCCAGCAGCCGCGGUAAUACGGAGGGUGCGAGCGGUGUUUGGAAUUUCUGGGCGUAAAGGGGGUGUAGGCGGGUUGAUAAGUUGGUUGUGAAAGUCCAGAGGUUAACUUUGGAAAUGCAGCCGAAAUUAUUAGUGUUGAAUGCUAGUGAGGAGGGCGGAAUUCCUGGUAAGAAGUGGAAUUCGGAGAUAUCAGGAGGAACGCCGGAGGCGAAGGGGGCCAUUUGGCAGUGCAUUGCACCUGAGACGGGGAAGGGUGGGGGACAAACAGGAGGGAUUCCCUUGUAGUUCACGCCCGAA
This 442-nucleotide ribosomal RNA is filed under the name uncultured marine bacterium. RNAcentral's name for it is "bacterial SSU rRNA". It matches the Rfam family "Bacterial small subunit ribosomal RNA", at positions 360 to 805 of the family's 1533-position model. The record is from RNAcentral.